CACGUCCAAGGAUGGCAGCAGGCGCGAAAAUUGUCCACUCUUUUGAGAGGAGACAGUUAUGAAACGUGAGUAGAAGGGUCGAGUGUAAAAACCUUGACGUGAAGCAAUUGGAGGGCAAGUUUUGGUGCCAGCAGCCGCGGUAAUUCCAACUCCAAGAGUGUCUAUGGUGGAUGCUGCAGUUAAAGGGUCCGUAGUCGUAGAUGCAAUUAAAAGGUGGUGUUAAAAGCCAUUGAGUUUGUUGAGAGUAGCGGAACGGAUAGGGAGCAUGGUAUAGGUGGGCAAAGAAUGAAAUCUCAAGACCCCACCUGGACCAACGGAGGCGAAAGCGAUGCUCUUAGACGUAUCUGGGGAUCAAGGACGAAGGCUAGAGUAUCGAAAGUGAUUAGACACCGCUGUAGUUCUAGCAGUAAACUAUGCCGACAAUGCUGGGUGUUGCGAGAGCGAUGCUUGGUGUGGGAGAAAUCUUAGUUUUCGGGCUCUGGGGAUAGUACGCUCGCAAGGGUGAAACUUAAAGCGAAAUUGACGGAAGGACACUACCAGGAGUGGAUUGUGCUGCUUAAUUUAACUCAACGCGGGAAAACUUACCAGGGUCAAGUCUAUCGUAGAUUGGAGACAUGAGGUAGACAAGAGUGGUGCAUGGCCGUUGGAAAUUGAUGGGGCGACUUUUAGCUUAAGUGCUGGAACCAGUGAGAUCUUCUAGACAGGUGUUAUUUAGGCACAGGAGGGAGAAGGCAAUAACAGGUCCGUGAUGCCCUUAGAUAUCCUGGGCAGCAAGCGCAAUACAAUAUCUCUUGAGAAGACAAAGCAAUUUGAGAUGAGUAGGAUUAGCUUUUGUAAAUAAGCUAUGAAUGAGGAAUUCCUAGUAACAGUGUCUCAUCAAGGCAUUGUGAAUGUGUCCCUGUUC
RNAcentral lists this ribosomal RNA (904 nucleotides) under Ecytonucleospora hepatopenaei. RNAcentral describes it as "bacterial SSU rRNA". It matches the Rfam family "Microsporidia small subunit ribosomal RNA", at positions 270 to 1181 of the family's 1311-position model. The record is from RNAcentral. Lineage: Eukaryota; Fungi; Microsporidia; Enterocytozoonidae.